Molecule: long non-coding RNA, 2705 nt
Organism: Astyanax mexicanus (Mexican tetra)
Lineage: Eukaryota; Metazoa; Chordata; Actinopteri; Characiformes; Acestrorhamphidae
Exons: 4
Source: RefSeq, a predicted model, not a curated record
CUCCUUCCUGACUCUCCUAUAGGACAGAGGGACUCGCUUUCUAUGACAAGCUGAUGCUGGAAAUUCCUCCUCCUCUCCUCUGCAGAAGUUUCUUCUGCCUGAGCUUCCUGCUUCUGUUUGUGUAUGGUGUGGUAGAGUGAUUUGCCACAAGGAUACUUCAGGGACACUUCCAGACAUGACAUCCCCCUCCUAGAAGAGGCUCCUGCUGGCUCCUAGAAGAGGACCCACUUAGCAGGACCUAUAGAAACUUUCAACAAGGCUAGAAGAGGAGGACAGGACCUAGUCGUGAAAGUUUCUGGACGCUUCCUCAGCCUGGAGUCAGCAUCAACCUACUCAACGCAGUGGUGAAUUUAUCAGCUCUUACACUAGAUGUCGCCAUUCUCCUGCUGGCCGGGUUUGGCCGUUCUCUUUCCCCACCCCGACCCUGUCCUCCUGUAGGGGUCUGGAGCUCGCAACUUCUCACCUCACACUCUUAUUAUUAACAGCAUUAUCAGUUUAGCAGUUUACCUCCGAACAAGAGCAAUAGAGAUAAAAUAAUUUAAAUAUAAAUACGUUUUAAAAGCACAAAAACACUCAGUACCCAAGUGUGCUACAUUGUGACAGACCUUUCGCACCAGUGUCAUGCAUGCCUUUAAGCCUGUGUGUGUUUUUAGGCGGGCAGAGUCUGGCAGAGAUAGUGUGAGAGGUAGCUGGCGUGCCCUGCCUGAAGAUUGGGUUUCUCCAGCCCAGCAUGUUAAAGCGAGCAGGAGUGGGCUGCCGCCUCUGAUCUGAGCUUGAGAGAACAUUCUGGAAGUCAAGUCUUGGAAACACUUUGCCUCCGGGGGAGCGGCUUUUGUUUUGGUUGACUCUCGCAGGUCAAACAAACACUCCCCCGCCACCCCCCACAGCCGUCCACCCAUCCACUAUCCACCCACAAACACCCCCCCACCCCAGCUCCCUCCCCCUAUGCUCCAGUCCUCCCGCUCUUGACUCUAUCGCUCCGUGUGUAAUCCUUGGCAGUAGUGAGCACCCUCUUUCUUGGCCCAAUAACACCCCCCCAACAUUGACCCCCCCCCGCCUGCCCCUCGCUCAAGUUCAAGUUCAACUGGCUAUGACAUCAUGUCUGGUUGCUGCGGGCAACCAGACAGUCAGGACGUGACUUCUCAGUUUGCGGGCCUGUGCUGAAACUCUCACCCUCUGUCCUCGUAUGCAUUCCCUUCUUCCUUCUCUGUCCUGGGACGGGGUGGCGGUGCAGAACUCACGAUUGGCCACCAGGGAGCUCUUCACGGCAACUUUUCACUUUACAGAGUAUUAUAUAGAGGACCUCAGCUUUUGUGCUCGAAUAACUUCAACAGAACUAAAUUAAUAAUGCUGUUCUCAAAAAGACGCAAGUUUAGUUUGUGAAUAAUUAGUUUGAAGAGAAUUCGCUGGAAAAAAGUGAGGGAUAUAAUAUCCUAUACUCUUUAUACUACCUUUUUUCCCCCUUUACUUGCCUAUGCUGCCACAUACACCCUACACCACACUGCCCAAUACUACCCCCCUGUACUAUGCUAAACUGCCCUUUGCUAUCCCACACUAUCCUAUAUCCCUAUACACUGUGUAUUUUUACACUACCCUGUACUGCCUAAUACUACUCUAUAUUGCCCAAUACGGCUCUUUUCUGUCCCACACUACCCCUAUAUUAUAACACUGUUCUACCCUAUGCUGCCCACUACCCACAAUAGGAGGUAGGAGCACAUAAAAAUAUAAGAAGUUGCAUCACUUCUGUAUAUGAUUCUCAGUUAUGUCUAUUGUUAAUUUUCUGAUUAUUCUGAUAAUUUUCUGACUACACUACCCUGUAAUCUGCCCUGUACUAUCCAAAUCCCCUAAACAUUUUAAAAUGCUGGUGUGUUGAGAAGAAUUGAGCUUAGUUUUUAAAUCAUUUGACUUUUUGCAGAGUUAAUGCUUUAUUUUUUGUUUUUUAAAGGCCGAGUGAGGCGAGUUUAAGACCCCAAAGAGAAGAGAGUUGGCUGGAAAAAAAGGGAGGGGUAGACAGAUGAAGGGAACGCAGUGAGCAGCGUUGAAUGGGAUAAUGAAAAGUCAAAGGGAGGUUAAGCAACUGAGUGAGCGAGAGAGUGAAAGCUGGAGCUAAAGACAGCAGCGGCACCUCGCUGCAGAGCUUCAGAUGGCUGCCAUGUGUUACGGAGCAGGCUGGCUGGGAGCAGGCCCGGGGCGGGUGUGGUUUGCACAGUAAUGAGUAAAGUGCAGCGAGUAAUGGAGGAGGCCCAGUGUGGUGGCUGCCCACUCGCAACGCUCAAAUCAACCUCCACUGCCCCACUCCCGCCGAGAACGCCUCGGCCCUCUCGGGCCUGCUCCAGAUGGGCCAGAUAAACACACUGUAAUGCUUAGUGUACGCAGGAGGGAAAGUGAGGGAGAGAGAGAGAAAGCAAUGCAAUAGAGAGGAACACAAAUUAUGAAGUGUGAGGAGAGUUUUAAAACCAUGGUUUCAGGACUGUAUGUUGAGUUUUAUACAGUGACACUCUGUAUAAUUGUAUAAAUAUAACUCUUAAACUACUGAUCAUAAAUAGCUGGUUUUCCAUUCACCAAGUUUUGGAAAAUUUUGAACAUACCAAAAAAGAACCACACACAAAUAUUGCUAAAAAUUGUAUAAAUAAUUGCUAAAGCCGACUGUGAAAAAGAGUGAAAAGAUUUAAAAUGGUUUUUGAAUAAACAAUGAUGUCAAUCAA